Molecule: ribosomal RNA, 417 nt
Filed under: uncultured bacterium
Lineage: Bacteria
Description: bacterial SSU rRNA
Rfam family: Bacterial small subunit ribosomal RNA
Source: RNAcentral
UAUUGGUCAAUGGGCGGGAGCCUGAACCAGCCAAGUCGCGUGAGGGAAGACGGUCCUAUGGAUUGUAAACCUCUUUAGGCGGGGAGCAAUGCCGGGCACGCGUGCCCGGAUGGAGAGGACCCGCAGAAUAAGCAUCGGCUAACUCCGUGCCAGCAGCCGCGGUAAUACGGAGGAUGCGAGGGUUAUCCGGAAUUAUUGGGUUUAAAGGGUGCGUAGGCGGGCUUUUAAGUCAGCGGUAAAAAUUCGGGGCUCAACCCCGUCCGGCCGUUGAAACUGGGGGCCGUGAGUGGGCGAGAAGAAGGCGGAAUGCGUGGUGUAGCGGUGAAAUGCAUAGAUAUCACGCAGAACCCCGAUUGCGAAGGCAGCCUUCCGGCGCCCUACUGACGCUGAGGCACGAAAGUGCGGGGAUCGAACAGG